Molecule: ribosomal RNA, 484 nt
Filed under: uncultured bacterium
Lineage: Bacteria
Description: partial 16S ribosomal RNA
Rfam family: Bacterial small subunit ribosomal RNA
Source: RNAcentral
AUUGAACGCUGGCGGAAUGCUUUACACAUGCAAGUCGAGCGGCAGCACGGGGGCAACCCUGGUGGCGAGCGGCGAACGGGUGAGUAAUACAUCGGAACAUGCCCAGUCGUGGGGGAUAACACUUCGAAAGAAGUGCUAAUACCGCAUACGUCCUGAGGGAGAAAGCGGGGGAUCGCAAGACAUCGCGCGAUUGGAGUGGCCGAUGUCAGAUUAGCUAGGUGGUGGGGUUAAGGCCUACCAAGGCAACGAUCGGUAGCUGGUCUGAGGAGCUGAUCAGCCACACCGGGACCUAGGAAAGGGCCCAGACUCCUACGGGAGGCAGAAGUGGGAAUUUUGGACAAUGGGGGCAACCCUGAUCCAGCCAUUCCGCGUGAGUGAAGAAGGCCUUCGGGUUGUAAAGCUCUUUCGGCAGGAACGAAACGGUGAGCUCUAACAUAGCUCGCUAAUGACGGUACCUGAAGAAGAAGCACCGGCUAACUACGUG